AAAACCGCGUGCGGCGGCCGCUGCAACAUUUACCUCGUCCCCUUCUUUGCGACUUCAGUGGGAGGUCGAGUAUGUAGUCAAAAUAGUGGGUGAAGAUUAUCAACAACGAGCAGCCACGCCCAUAGGUUCCUCAGAAACCAAAUCACCUUUCUCGAGUUGCACGACCAUAAGAGAUGGGGUUCCGGAGGUCAGCUCUGUUAGUGGGAUGGGAUCUCAGAGAACAACAACAACGAGAGGAACGACGAUGGGUUGUGCACGAGGCGGCGAAGGAGAUGCAAUUCUAUUAGGGUGUAUGCUAUUACUAACUACUUCAUGGUUACCACCAUAACAAAAUAGGUUGCUAGGAAGGAGCGAUUUUUUU
RNAcentral lists this long non-coding RNA (361 nucleotides) under Hordeum vulgare. RNAcentral's name for it is "long non-coding RNA (HVUL_LNC013699)". The record is from RNAcentral. Lineage: Eukaryota; Viridiplantae; Streptophyta; Magnoliopsida; Poales; Poaceae.